This 874-nucleotide ribosomal RNA is filed under the name Salmonella enterica. Its description in RNAcentral is "partial 23S ribosomal RNA". It matches the Rfam family "Bacterial large subunit ribosomal RNA", at positions 2069 to 2925 of the family's 2925-position model. Lineage: Bacteria; Pseudomonadati; Pseudomonadota; Gammaproteobacteria; Enterobacterales; Enterobacteriaceae. The record is from RNAcentral.
CCCGCGGCAAGACGGAAAGACCCCGUGAACCUUUACUAUAGCUUGACACUGAACAUUGAGCCUUGAUGUGUAGGAUAGGUGGGAGGCUUUGAAGCGUGGACGCCAGUCUGCGUGGAGCCGACCUUGAAAUACCACCCUUUAAUGUUUGAUGUUCUAACGUGGAUCCGUAAUCCGGGUUGCGGACAGUGUCUGGUGGGUAGUUUGACUGGGGCGGUCUCCUCCUAAAGAGUAACGGAGGAGCACGAAGGUUGGCUAAUCCUGGUCGGACAUCAGGAGGUUAGUGCAAUGGCAUAAGCCAGCUUGACUGCGAGCGUGACGGCGCGAGCAGGUGCGAAAGCAGGUCAUAGUGAUCCGGUGGUUCUGAAUGGAAGGGCCAUCGCUCAACGGAUAAAAGGUACUCCGGGGAUAACAGGCUGAUACCGCCCAAGAGUUCAUAUCGACGGCGGUGUUUGGCACCUCGAUGUCGGCUCAUCACAUCCUGGGGCUGAAGUAGGUCCCAAGGGUAUGGCUGUUCGCCAUUUAAAGUGGUACGCGAGCUGGGUUUAGAACGUCGUGAGACAGUUCGGUCCCUAUCUGCCGUGGGCGCUGGAGAACUGAGGGGGGCUGCUCCUAGUACGAGAGGACCGGAGUGGACGCAUCACUGGUGUUCGGGUUGUCAUGCCAAUGGCACUGCCCGGUAGCUAAAUGCGGAAGAGAUAAGUGCUGAAAGCAUCUAAGCACGAAACUUGCCCCGAGAUGAGUUCUCCCUGAGACUUAGAGUCUCCUGAAGGAACGUUGAAGACGACGACGUUGAUAGGCCGGGUGUGUAAGCGCAGCGAUGCGUUGAGCUAACCGGUACUAAUGAACCGUGAGGCUUAACCUUACAACGCCGAAG